UGGGGAAUAUUGCACAAUGGGCGAAAGCCUGAUGCAGCGACGCCGCGUGAGGGAUGACGGCCUUCGGGUUGUAAACCUCUUUCAGCAGGGAAGAAGCGAAAGUGACGGUACCUGCAGAAGAAGCGCCGGCUAACUACGUGCCAGCAGCCGCGGUAAUACGUAGGGCGCAAGCGUUGUCCGGAAUUAUUGGGCGUAAAGAGCUCGUAGGCGGUUAGUCGCGUCUGCUGUGAAACUCGAGGCUCAACCUCGGGCUUGCAGUGGGUACGGGCUGACUAGAGUGCGGUAGGGGUGACUGAAUUCCUGGUGUAGCGGUGGAAUGCGCAGAUAUCAGGAGGAACACCGAUGGCGAAGGCAGGUCACUGGGCCGCAACUGACGCUGAGGAGCGAAAGCAUGGGGAGCGAACAGGAUUAGAUACCCUGGUAGUCCAUGCCGUAAACGUUGGGCACUAGGUGUGGGGUCCAUUCCACGGAUUCCGUGCCGCAGCAAGCGCAUUAAGUGCCCCCGCCUGGGGAGUACGGCCGCAAGGCUAAAACUUAAAUGAAUUG
Molecule: ribosomal RNA, 546 nt
Filed under: uncultured bacterium
Lineage: Bacteria
Description: partial 16S ribosomal RNA
Rfam family: Bacterial small subunit ribosomal RNA
Source: RNAcentral